GAUGAACGCUGGCGGCGUGCCUAAUACAUGCGAGUCGAGCGAACGGACGAGAAGCUUGCUUCUCUGAUGUUAGCGGCGGACGGGUGAGUAACACGUGGAUAACCUACCUAUAAGACUGGGAUAACUUCGGGAAACCGGAGCUAAUACCGGAUAAUAUUUUGAACCGCAUGGUUCAAAAGUGAAAGACGGUCUUGCUGUCACUUAUAGAUGGAUCCGCGCUGCAUUAGCUAGUUGGUAAGGUAACGGCUUACCAAGGCAACGAUGCAUAGCCGACCUGAGAGGGUGAUCGGCCACACUGGAACUGAGACACGGUCCAGACUCCUACGGGAGGCAGCAGUAGGGAAUCCUCCGCAAUGGGCGAAAGCCUGACGGAGCAACGCCGCGUGAGUGAUGAAGGUCUUCGGAUCGUAAAACUCUGUUAUUAGGGAAGAACAUAUGUGUAAGUAACUGUGCACAUCUUGACGGUACCUAAUCAGAAAGCCACGGCUAACUACGUG
This 497-nucleotide ribosomal RNA is filed under the name uncultured bacterium. RNAcentral describes it as "partial 16S ribosomal RNA". It matches the Rfam family "Bacterial small subunit ribosomal RNA", at positions 28 to 507 of the family's 1533-position model. The record is from RNAcentral.